GACGGAGGAUGCAAGUGUUAUCCGGAAUCACUGGGCGUAAAGCGUCUGUAGGUGGUUUAAAAAGUCCACUGUUAAAGAUUGAAGCUUAACUUCAAAAAUGCCGUGGAAACUUUUAAACUUGAGUAUGAUAGGGGUAGAGGGAAUUUCCAGUGGAGCGGUGAAAUGCGUAGAUAUCGAGAGGAACACCUGCGGCGAAGGCGGGUUGCUGGGCUGAUACUGACGCUGAGGAGCGAAAGCGUGGGGAGCGAACAGG
Molecule: ribosomal RNA, 253 nt
Filed under: uncultured bacterium
Lineage: Bacteria
Description: partial 16S ribosomal RNA
Rfam family: Bacterial small subunit ribosomal RNA
Source: RNAcentral